RNAcentral lists this ribosomal RNA (378 nucleotides) under uncultured bacterium. Its description in RNAcentral is "bacterial SSU rRNA". It matches the Rfam family "Bacterial small subunit ribosomal RNA", at positions 527 to 907 of the family's 1533-position model. The record is from RNAcentral.
GUAGGGGGCAAGCGUUGUCCGGAAUGACUGGGCGUAAAGGGUGUGUAGGCGGUUAGGCAAGUUAGAAGUGUAAUACCCGGGCUUAACUCGGGUGCUGCUUCUAAAACUGCUUGACUUGAGUGCUGGAGAGGAUAGUGGAAUUCCUAGUGUAGCGGUGGAAUGCGUAGAUAUUAGGAGGAACAUCAGUGGCGAAGGCGACUAUCUGGACAGUAACUGACGCUGAGGCAUGAAAGUGUGGGUAUCAAACAGGAUUAGAUACCCUGGUAGUCCACACGGUAAACGAUGAAUACUCGCUGUUUGCGAUAUACAGCAAGCGGCCAAGCGAAAGCGUUAAGUAUUCCACCUGGGGAGUACGCCGGCAACGGUGAAACUCANAGG